This 254-nucleotide ribosomal RNA is filed under the name uncultured bacterium. Its description in RNAcentral is "partial 16S ribosomal RNA". It matches the Rfam family "Bacterial small subunit ribosomal RNA", at positions 524 to 776 of the family's 1533-position model. The record is from RNAcentral.
UACGGGGGGGGGCAAGCGUUGUUCGGAAUUACUGGGCGUAAAGGGCUCGUAGGCGGCCAACUAAGUCAGACGUGAAAUCCCCAGGCUCAACCUGGGAACUGCGUCUGAUACUGGAUGGCUUGAAUCCGGGAGAGGGAUGCAGAAUUCCAGGUGUAGCGGUGAAAUGCGUAGAUAUCAUUUGGAACGCCAAUGGUGAAAACAGGUAGCUGGGGUUGUGCUGACACUGAGACACGAAAGCCAGGGGAGCAAACGGG